Long non-coding RNA from Oncorhynchus kisutch (coho salmon), 563 nucleotides. RefSeq lists it as uncharacterized. The transcript has 3 exons. NCBI's taxonomy places the organism in Eukaryota, Metazoa, Chordata, Actinopteri, Salmoniformes, Salmonidae. The record is from RefSeq and is a predicted model, not a curated record.
UUUCACCAGACAGAACUGGUUUGUUUCGUUCCACUUGGUUUCAGUGUGACAGUCAGGUUGUUUUUAUAGAAAUCUUGUUUGCCAUUGACCUUUGUGAGGGCAGUAACAAGGAUCUAUGUGAAGGAGUAUGAGUAGCAGCUGCCACCUGCAUGGGUGAAAAAGAAGUGGAGAACGAUAAGCAAAAAUAAAGGAAGGGUCUAGAUGUGGAGGCAGGAGAAAGAUGUGACUGCCAGAGGGGCACACCUUACGGACAAUUUAAAUGCCAAGAUUAUGAAGUAGUUGUAUGUAUUUUAUUCAUAGCUAUAAAAUGUAUUCAUUUUCUACUAUUUUUGUUGGAGUAAUUUUUUAAACCCAAAGUGGAUUUUUGUUUUCUCAUUAAAACGAGUGGUGCAGCGGUCUAAUGCACUGCAUCGCAAUGAUUGAGACAUCACUACAAACCUGGAUUUAACUCCAGGCCGUGACCAGGAGAGACUGACCCAUGAGACUGUAACUACCAAUUGGAUAUCAUGAAAUUGGGGAGAAAAGGGGGGGGUUUAUUGUUUGCAAUAAACAUUUUUAUUUAA